ACUGCUGUCAAUCUAUCUAUCACUGCUAAUCUAUCACUGCUAAUCUAUCACUGCUAAUCUAUCACUGUCAAUCUAUCUACUGCUGUUAAUCUAUCUACUGCUGUCAAUCUAUCUACCACUGUCAAUCUAUCUAUUGCUGCUAAUCUAUCGCUGCUAAUCUAUCACUGCUAAUCUAUCACUGCUAAUCUAUUGCCGUCAAUCUAUCUACCACUGCCAAUCUAUCUACCACUGCCAAUCUAUCUAUUGCUGCCAAUCUAUAUAGAGUAAAUUAUGGUCUCAUUUGGUCUCAUUUUGUAAAAUGAAAUCAAAUGAAAUCAGAAUCAUUAAUUUAUUAGUAAAAUAUGAUUUGAGACUAGAUUUAUAAUAUAAACAGUGUAAAGUGACUAAUUUGCUAAACACUAUAUGAGAUCAGAACUAAGAUAUCUAAUAAUAAAACUG
This 438-nucleotide small RNA is filed under the name Histoplasma capsulatum. RNAcentral describes it as "hypothetical RNA". The record is from RNAcentral. Lineage: Eukaryota; Fungi; Ascomycota; Eurotiomycetes; Onygenales; Ajellomycetaceae. RNAcentral also lists the same sequence under 1 other name.